RNAcentral lists this unclassified non-coding RNA (1220 nucleotides) under Hevea brasiliensis (rubber tree). Lineage: Eukaryota; Viridiplantae; Streptophyta; Magnoliopsida; Malpighiales; Euphorbiaceae. The record is from RNAcentral.
UUCCUUUCAACUAAAAGGGACACACUGAUGUAGCAAACUCCUUCCUCGUUUGAGCUAUAAAAGUAGCCAAAUUCAACUUGCUUGAAAAUUAGGGAGUUGGGUUAGAUUUUCUUCUUCCAAACUGCAAAAUGAAAAUUCAGGAUUGCAUAGAAAAAUGGAUUCAGAGAGACUGCAAGGGUGAAAAUUAUGCACAAUCCAUCCUCUGUAAAUGAUUGGCAUUGUCAGUUUUCAUUCUUUUUUAGGCAAUCUAAGUGUGAUGAGCUUGUCAAAGCUGGAAAAAUUUUCAGGUCAAAUGGUUGAACAUUGAUAUCUUGGUACAAUAGAACUUGACUACGAGUUCAUUAAAGGUAGAAAAAAAACCACCUGUUAUAACUGAUGUGGCUGAGGAGAGUGGUACGAUGUAUUCCUAUUGUAACUUAAAACAGGAGUAGAUUUUGGUGCUUUUGCAUGUCAAAUGUCAGUGGUAACCAAAAAGAAUAGGUUAAGAAGAUGAUAUGAUGGCCUAGAUCAAAAUAUAUGGAAGGUUGUUCUUCUGAUUUAUGUUGGUAAGGACGCUUUUUCAGCUGAUGCUCUGGGAAUUCCUUUUCCAAGGUUUUCUGAUUCUGUUAUCUUCUAAAAAAGUGGACUGCAAGGAUCGUUGCUUCCGAUGCCUUGGAUUUUUUCCAGCAGUUAACAUGCCUUGUUUGGAAAAUGAUCUCUUGUUUAGAUUGGUUCAAAUAUGAGGAAACAGAGAUCAUGUGGUGAUGCCACCCCUGGAGAGGCAUGGCGGUGGCCCAUUAAUCUCUUAUAUGGCCUACGAUAGCAUCUCCAGUCUAAUAGAUGGCUCAUGGAAGACAUAGAACCUUAUAGUGAGCAAGCAACAGCGGUUGGUUUAAAACGAACUGUGGGAUACUGAUAUGGUGUUGAAGAUGGCAACAGGGCAUUCUUUCAGGAUGACCAUAGCAAAACCAAUUGGUACCAUGGCUGGCAUGCCUGGUUUUACCUUUGCUGUGUGUAAGGGUGUAAAUGAGCAAAGUUGCUUGCGAGUUACUCGAGGUUCAAUUCAAUUCGACUCAUUUAAAAAGUGAGCUGAGCUCGAGCUCAAUUUUUAAGUUUAUUUAAUAAACAAAUCGAGUUCAAACUUCAUAAUAUACCACUUGUUAAAGGUUGUAAGCUGGCUCGAGAGUGGAUUUGUUAAAUAAACUCGUGAACAGACUCGUUUGUAAAAAUAUUUAUAUUAG